Molecule: long non-coding RNA, 1529 nt
Filed under: Homo sapiens (human)
Lineage: Eukaryota; Metazoa; Chordata; Mammalia; Primates; Hominidae
Description: long non-coding RNA NONHSAT037539.2
Source: RNAcentral
GUGGAGCGCCAGAGCUGCUAAGUGCGUCAGUUGUGGAGUGGCGUAGACGAGUUAAGUCCUGGUCUGCGUGGAGGUCGACGACUCCGUCGCAGACUACGGACCUGUCUGGGUCUCAGCCGCCAAAGACCCCGUCCGGUAGGUGAGUGGCUCACUUUGAGGGCAAGCCUUCUCGGAUCGAGGCUUCUUCAUGGCCGCUCAGAUCGUGAGCGGCCGGGGCUGCUCUCUUUGCGGAGGAUGGCGUCUAAUGAGCGCAGUUGAUUCGAGGGUUACUAUUGAACAUGCUAGGGCUCGGUCACGAGGUGGAAGAGGUAGAGGACGAUACUCUGACCGUUUUAGUAGUCGCAGACCUCGAAAUGAUAGACGGUAUGUGAAGGGUGGAUGGCUGCAUUGAACAAUUAUUGUAGGGGUAGCAUUUAAGAUUCAGGAGUCAUUAGCAGUGAUGAUUUUGGGUCCUGCCGUAUAAUCUGUUCUUCUAUUCCCACGUUAGCCAGUUGUUCUUGAUGAAUCUAUAUGAGUCAUAGAACACAAAUCUAUUGACGGAAGUCAUUAGAAUGGCUUGUGAUAUCUGAUGGCUUGAACUUGCCCACAGUUGAACACAAGUGCUGUCAUUGCAUUUCUUCCAUUGUGAAUACGAAUUUUCUUCCUCAGAAAUGCUCCACCUGUAAGAACAGAAAAUCGUCUUAUAGUUGAGAAUUUAUCCUCAAGAGUCAGCUGGCAGUAGGUCAAGAAGCAGGUCUCGAUCCCGGACCAGAAGUUCCUCUAGGUCUCGUAGCCGAUCCCGUUCCCGUAGUCGCAAAUCUUACAGCCGGUCAAGAAGCAGGAGCAGGAGCCGGAGCCGGAGCAAGUCCCGUUCUGUUAGUAGGUCUCCCGUGCCUGAGAAGAGCCAGAAACGUGGUUCUUCAAGUAGAUCUAAGUCUCCAGCAUCUGUGGAUCGCCAGAGGUCCCGGUCCCGAUCAAGGUCCAGAUCAGUUGACAGUGGCAAUUAAACUGUAAAUAACUUGCCCUGGGGGCCUUUUUUUAAAAAACAAAAACCACAAAAAUUCCCAAACCAUACUUGCUAAAAAUUCUGGUAAGUAUGUGCUUUUCUGUGGGGGUGGGAUUUGGAAGGGGGGUUGGGUUGGGCUGGAUAUCUUUGUAGAUGUGGACCACCAAGGGGUUGUUGAAAACUAAUUGUAUUAAAUGUCUUUUGAUAAGCCUUCUGCUCACAUUUUUGUGAAUGUCUGAAGUAUAUAGUUUGUGUAUAUUGACAGAGCUCUUUUAUAACUAAAGCAAAUUUAAUUUUUUUGUACUAGAAAAAAAUUUGAACAUUUUAGUUCUUGGUUAUAAAAAUGUUAAUUCAGAAUUAGUUUAAUGCCUUAAUUAAACUAAUUAAUAGCUUUGGACACUUAAAAGAGCUCUAAAUUUGCUUGUACAUAAAGGCUUAAUUUGUUUUCCUUGUUAGGGUCAAGGGUGUCCUCCACUCUUUAACAGCUGCUGGACAGACACAUUAGAGCAGCUGUUUGUUAUUGAUAAUAAAAUAUUAUAAAACU